ACUAGCUCUGUAGACCAGCCUGGCCUUGAACUCACAGAGAUACACCUGCCUCUGCCUCCCAAGAGCUGGGGUUAUUUUUUUUAAUGCAUACAAAUGUCUCUGCAAGCCACUAGAGGCCACCAAUCCCAUUAGAGAUGGUUGUGAGCCACCAUGUAUAUUUGACUGGGAAUUGAAGUGGGGACCUCUGGAAGAGCAGGCAGUGCUGUUAACCUCUGAGCCAUCUCUCCUGUACCCAGAAAAUAUUUUAAGAGCAAUUUUAUAUCAAAGAGUUGAAGGAUUGUGCUACUAAUAUUUUAUUUUCAACAAAUUACCUGUUUUGUUUUGUUUUUAACAUGGUAUCACUUUAUAGCCCUGUCUGGCCUGGAACUCACUAUGGAGACCAGAGUGGCCUUGAACUCACCUGCCUCCCAGGGGUGGCACAGGGAUUAAAGACCUGUGCUACCAGGCCUGGCUUCUGUAAAACACUGAUGACUCCUGCAAUAGGUAAUGAUUUUAAAGGUCGAAAUGUUACUGAUGAGACUUAAGCCACUAAGUGAUCAUCAGUUCCACAAAACAAUUCUAUAGAGAGGAAGACUUUUCCCAGGUGAUCAUUUGGAAAUGUUUGGGGGUAUUUUCCCUGGCAUCUAGGAGAAUAGAACUACUGAGUAUCUCAUGGAGAGGGGUUGCAGACAAAGCCUGACACUCCACAAUAAAGAGGGCAUCCCCUUGCAACAAAGAAAUCCUGUCCAGAGGUUUGGCGUAUAGUUUAGUGGCAGAGCAUUAGGUUCAAUCACCAAUUCAACCACAAAAAAAUAGAGAGAGAGAGAAGAAGAAUAUAAGGAAAGAAAAAAAUCAUCACAAACCACCACUUAUGACAAGAAUGAGAAACCCUAGUUCAGCACAGAUGAAAGAAGACAGAAUACCAUAAGAUAUAAAUAUAUAUCAAUAUUUUAGACAGUGAUUGAAAUAUUAAGACAAUAUACUGAGAAAACAGCAAUAAAUAAACAGCUUCUGCACAACCACUCACCCCCUUCUCUCUGCUGUCUUAGCAUUCUGUUGACAAUUAUUAUUGCUUUGGAAAAGACAUGUAUAAUAAUUGUGAAUGGUCUUUAAUUUUCUAAUGGUUUGGUCCUCUAUCCUUUUUCUUGGCUUUGCAGCAGUCCCAUCCCAUGAUUAGCUCCAGUACUCUCAAGGUGCACCCACCUCAGCAAGUCAUGAGAUCCACGUGUUGUGAAGUACUUUAAUGAGCUGAAGCUGGUGAGAAGUACCACUCCACCCUUGAGAGGCUCAUCUUCUCCCCACCAAGGACAGGCUAACCAAUACCAGUGCAGCUCAUAAUCAUGCACCCAGGAGGAGCAAGCAUGCUAGAACUCUUGCAAGGAGGGAAAGAAGCUUGACAGCCCAGGAUGGAAGAGGAGGAGACGCUGGAGAGAAAUGGCAACCUGGUCACUUGUCACAGCAUACGGGUCAAAUGGGUUGAGAUCAAACCCAGGGCUCCAGGCAUCCUCUGCCAAGUGCCCUACCUCUGAGAUGCAUCAUCAGCCCAUAAAACAAGAGGGCAUCCCAGUCAACAACCACAUCUUUCCAUUAUCAAACACAAAGCAAAAACCAUUCUUUGGCAGAAAAACAGAUCUCUGAAACAGAAAGCUCUCUCCGAGGAUGCAGGGUAUUUGGGAAUCAGGAAAGUUUUCUAAAAGCUGACGAUGAUAGGUACACAGUCUGUGACCACACUAAAAACCACAGUCGUGUGAGUUGGGAGAGUGAACUGUGUAGUGUAGGAACUGAAUCUUACCAGAACAGCAGCAUUAGGAUUAAGGGAAGCAAUGGGAGGUAGCUCAGUUGGGAGAGUUAUUGCCUAGCACCUGCUAAGCCCUGGCUCCUCUCCCCUGGCACUACACAGAACAGGUAUGGUGCCAUAGAUCUGGAAUCCUAGCACCUGGGAAGAGUGGAAAGAUGGCCACAAGUUCAAGGCCAGUCUGGUCUACAUAGCGGGUUCUAAGCCAGGGAUGUGAAGUGGUUCUGUCUCAAGAAACAAACAAGCAGGGGUGAUGGCUCAGUUAGCAAAGGGCUUGCUUUGCCAACACUAGGACUUGAGUUUUGUCCUAAGAACCUACAAACGUGAAGCCUGGUUGUACACACUUUUAAUCCCAGCAAUGAAGAGGUAGAAACAGGGAAAUCCCUGGGGCUUCCUGGGCAGCCAGUCUAACCUGAUUCCUGAGCUCCAGGGGGAUGAAAGACCCCACCUCAAAGGAGUGGACAGAGACCCUGAGGAUGACACUAAAGCUGUCACAUGGUCUCCAUGUGUAUGUGCAUGCUCACACAAAUAUGCUCUCUCUCCCUCCCUCUCUCUGUCUCUGUCUCUGUCUCUGUCUCUCUCUCUCUCUCACACACACACACACACUCAUUAUAAAUAAAAUAAGAAAUCAAAAGUAGAAGUUGUCCCACUCUAAAACCCAUCCAAUUUUUAAUCUAAUUGAAGGUCAUUAAACUAAAGAACAUAGUUAUAGAUAAUGAAUUCCUGGCAGAGCUGUUCACGGAUGUGGGGAGGCUGUGAAGAUACAGGGUUCUGGCUCCCGAAGCCCUGAGAGUAUCUGGACUUUAUCUUGCUUGAGGGACUGAAAAUCUCUAAAGAUUAUCACUAUUUGUUUUUUAUUAUACAGAUGUGUGUGUGUCCAUGUCCCAGGGAUCACAAUUAAGUGGUCAGGCUUGGUGACCAUGGUCUCUACUCACUGGGAUACCUUGCCAGCCAUUAAAAGAAAAUGUUUAUUAAUUUUUUUAUACAACAUUUUUUUUGAGACAGGGUUUCUCUGUGUAGCUUUGUAGAGCAGACUGGCCUCGAACUCACAGCAAUCUACUUGCCUCUGCCUCCCAGGUGCUGCAAUUAAAGGCGUGUAGCACCACCUUCUGGCUCUGUACAACAUAUUUUAAUCAUAUACUUUUCUCUCUCUCAGCUUCUCCACACCUCCU
Molecule: non-coding RNA, 2946 nt
Organism: Cricetulus griseus (Chinese hamster)
Lineage: Eukaryota; Metazoa; Chordata; Mammalia; Rodentia; Cricetidae
Source: RefSeq, a predicted model, not a curated record